UUUGAAAAAGAAAUCGAGCGACAUGGAAAUUAAAGUACACACAGAAGCACCUAUUGUAUCAAAUAGUACAAACUCAUGAGAAAUUUGGAAUAAGAUAUAUAUACGACAUGUAUAGUGAUGAUGUGCUUAGAUACUAGGAUCUACAAUUUAGACGUUGUGAAUUCUAAGUUGAGAUCUAAAUUCACCUACACUUGCUAUAACUUUUUACAUAUAUAUAAGGCUAAAUAUCGAGUUCUGUUGAACCUGCAAACCUGUUGUUUGAUCCACUAACGAUUCAAGAAACUGAUAAACAGUCUUGAAUUUGCUCUAAGGAGCGUAAAAGUAAUCCUUCAACGUCUGUGAUGUGUUUCUUCAUCACAGGAACUGAUCCUUUAACUCCACAGAUUGCUUCAUUCAGUUUUGUUGCAGGCUGCUGAACCACUUGCUUCAUUUUCUUGUCAUCAGAAAAUUGGAAUUUAAGCUUCUGAUUCUGCUUAUGCUGUUUCUGUUUUUGAUGAUUUCCAAUAAAGAUACAAAUCGUAACAGCAGCAGCUGCAACCCCAAAUGAACAAAUUGCACCAAUUCCAGUCAAUCUCCAGUUCCACAGAUUAACUCCACCAUUAUUUUUCUCUUCAUUACUAUCCCUUUUCUUGAUCAAACUCUCAUUUUCAACUUCCAAGACUUCAGCUUUAACCUCAAAGGGGAAACUCAUUGAAUCAAUUUGAGACACAGUACUAGUCUUGUUACUAAACUUGGGUGAAUCCAACUUCAUGUUUUCAAAUUCACUUUCCUUCAUUUUCUUGAAGAAAA
Molecule: unclassified non-coding RNA, 789 nt
Filed under: Hevea brasiliensis (rubber tree)
Lineage: Eukaryota; Viridiplantae; Streptophyta; Magnoliopsida; Malpighiales; Euphorbiaceae
Source: RNAcentral